Non-coding RNA from Bombyx mori (domestic silkworm), 74 nucleotides. The record is from Rfam. NCBI's taxonomy places the organism in Eukaryota, Metazoa, Arthropoda, Insecta, Lepidoptera, Bombycidae.
UUAACUCAAAUUUGUAUGGAGUUGGAACGUUUGCCGCUAGGAGCGCUGUUCCCACUGCAUACAAAUUUGAGUUA